UACGGAGGGGGCUAGCGUUGUUCAGAAUUACUGGGCGUAAAGCGCACGUAGGCGGAUGCUUAAGUCAGGGGUGAAAUCCCGGGGCUCAACCCCGGAACUGCCUUUGAUACUGGGUGUCUGGAGGUCGAGAGAGGCGAGUGGAAUUCCGAGUGUAGAGGUGAAAUUCGUAGAUAUUCGGAGGAACACCAGUGGCGAAGGCGGCUCGCUGGCUCGAUACUGACGCUGAGGUGCGAAAGCGUGGGGAGCAAACAGG
RNAcentral lists this ribosomal RNA (253 nucleotides) under uncultured bacterium. Its description in RNAcentral is "partial 16S ribosomal RNA". It matches the Rfam family "Bacterial small subunit ribosomal RNA", at positions 524 to 776 of the family's 1533-position model. The record is from RNAcentral.